CCGUGAGGGAAAGGCGAAAAGAACCCCGGCGAGGGGAGUGAAAAAGAACCUGAAACCGUGUACGUACAAGCAGUGGGAGCACGCUUAGGCGUGUGACUGCGUACCUUUUGUAUAAUGGGUCAGCGACUUAUAUUCUGUAGCAAGGUUAACCGAAUAGGGGAGCCGAAGGGAAACCGAGUCUUAACUGGGCGUUAAGUUGCAGGGUAUAGACCCGAAACCCGGUGAUCUAGCCAUGGGCAGGUUGAAGGUUGGGUAACACUAACUGGAGGACCGAACCGACUAAUGUUGAAAAAUUAGCGGAUGACUUGUGGCUGGGGGUGAAAGGCCAAUCAAACCGGGAGAUAGCUGGUUCUCCCCGAAAGCUAUUUAGGUAGCGCCUCGUGAAUUCAUCUCCGGGGGUAGAGCACUGUUUCGGCAAGGGGGUCAUCCCGACUUACCAACCCGAUGCAAACUGCGAAUACCGGAGAAUGUUAUCACGGGAGACACACGGCGGGUGCUAACGUCCGUCGUGAAGAGGGAAACAACCCAGACCGCCAGCUAAGGUCCCAAAGUCAUGGUUAAGUGGGAAACGAUGUGGGAAGGCCCAGACAGCCAGGAUGUUGGCUUAGAAGCAGCCAUCAUUUAAAGAAAGCGUAAUAGCUCACUGGUCGAGUCGGCCUGCGCGGAAGAUGUAACGGGGCUAAACCAUGCACCGAAGCUGCGGCAGCGACGCUUAUGCGUUGUUGGGUAGGGGAGCGUUCUGUAAGCCUGUGAAGGUGUGCUGUGAGGCAUGCUGGAGGUAUCAGAAGUGCGAAUGCUGACAUAAGUAACGAUAAAGCGGGUGAAAAGCCCGCUCGCCGGAAGACCAAGGGUUCCUGUCCAACGUUAAUCGGGGCAGGGUGAGUCGACCCCUAAGGCGAGGCCGAAAGGCGUAGUCGAUGGGAAACAGGUUAAUAUUCCUGUACUUGGUGUUACUGCGAAGGGGGGACGGAGAAGGCUAUGUUGGCCGGGCGACGGUUGUCCCGGUUUAAGCGUGUAGGCUGGUUUUCCAGGCAAAUCCGGAAAAUCAAGGCUGAGGCGUGAUGACGAGGCACUACGGUGCUGAAGCAACAAAUGCCCUGCUUCCAGGAAAAGCCUCUAAGCAUCAGGUAACAUCAAAUCGUACCCCAAACCGACACAGGUGGUCAGGUAGAGAAUACCAAGGCGCUUGAGAGAACUCGGGUGAAGGAACUAGGCAAAAUGGUGCCGUAACUUCGGGAGAAGGCACGCUGAUAUGUAGGUGAAGCGACUUGCUCGUGGAGCUGAAAUCAGUCGAAGAUACCAGCUGGCUGCAACUGUUUAUUAAAAACACAGCACUGUGCAAACACGAAAGUGGACGUAUACGGUGUGACGCCUGCCCGGUGCCGGAAGGUUAAUUGAUGGGGUCAGCGCAAGCGAAGCUCUUGAUCGAAGCCCCGGUAAACGGCGGCCGUAACUAUAACGGUCCUAAGGUAGCGAAAUUCCUUGUCGGGUAAGUUCCGACCUGCACGAAUGGCGUAAUGAUGGCCAGGCUGUCUCCACCCGAGACUCAGUGAAAUUGAACUCGCUGUGAAGAUGCAGUGUACCCGCGGCAAGACGGAAAGACCCCGUGAACCUUUACUAUAGCUUGACACUGAACAUUGAGCCUUGAUGUGUAGGAUAGGUGGGAGGCUUAGAAGUGUGGACGCCAGUCUGCAUGGAGCCGACCUUGAAAUACCACCCUUUAAUGUUUGAUGUUCUAACGUUGACCCGUAAUCCGGGUUGCGGACAGUGUCUGGUGGGUAGUUUGACUGGGGCGGUCUCCUCCUAAAGAGUAACGGAGGAGCACGAAGGUUGGCUAAUCCUGGUCGGACAUCAGGAGGUUAGUGCAAUGGCAUAAGCCAGCUUGACUGCGAGCGUGACGGCGCGAGCAGGUGCGAAAGCAGGUCAUAGUGAUCCGGUGGUUCUGAAUGGAAGGGCCAUCGCUCAACGGAUAAAAGGUACUCCGGGGAUAACAGGCUGAUACCGCCCAAGAGUUCAUAUCGACGGCGGUGUUUGGCACCUCGAUGUCGGCUCAUCACAUCCUGGGGCUGAAGUAGGUCCCAAGGGUAUGGCUGUUCGCCAUUUAAAGUGGUACGCGAGCUGGGUUUAGAACGUCGUGAGACAGUUCGGUCCCUAUCUGCCGUGGGCGCUGGAGAACUGAGGGGGGCUGCUCCUAGUACGAGAGGACCGGAGUGGACGCAUCACUGGUGUUCGGGUUGUCAUGCCAAUGGCACUGCCCGGUAGCUAAAUGCGGAAGAGAUAAGUGCUGAAAGCAUCUAAGCACGAAACUUGCC
RNAcentral lists this ribosomal RNA (2312 nucleotides) under Escherichia coli. Its description in RNAcentral is "partial 23S ribosomal RNA". It matches the Rfam family "Bacterial large subunit ribosomal RNA", at positions 501 to 2798 of the family's 2925-position model. Lineage: Bacteria; Pseudomonadati; Pseudomonadota; Gammaproteobacteria; Enterobacterales; Enterobacteriaceae. The record is from RNAcentral.